RNAcentral lists this ribosomal RNA (450 nucleotides) under uncultured bacterium. RNAcentral's name for it is "partial 16S ribosomal RNA". It matches the Rfam family "Bacterial small subunit ribosomal RNA", at positions 354 to 796 of the family's 1533-position model. The record is from RNAcentral.
GUGGGGAAUAUUGGACAAUGGGCGAAAGCCUGAUCCAGCCAUGCCGCGUGUGUGAAGAAGGUCUUCGGAUUGUAAAGCACUUUAAGUUGGGAGGAAGGGCAGUAAGUUAAUACCUUGCUGUUUUGACGUUACCGACAGAAUAAGCACCGGCUAACUUCGUGCCAGCAGCCGCGGUAAUACGAAGGGUGCAAGCGUUAAUCGGAAUUACUGGGCGUAAAGCGCGCGUAGGUGGUUUUGUAAGUUGGAGGUGAAAUCCCCGGGCUCAACCUGGGAACUGCCUCCAAAACUGCAUGACUAGAGUACGGUAGAGGGUAGUGGAAUUUCCUGUGUAGCGGUGAAAUGCGUAGAUAUAGGAAGGAACACCAGUGGCGAAGGCGACUACCUGGACUGAUACUGACACUGUGGUGCGAAAGCGUGGGGAGCAAACAGGAUUAGAUACCCUGGUAGUCC